UACGUAGGGUGCAAGCGUUAAUCGGAAUUACUGGGCGUAAAGCGCACGCAGGCGGUUCGGUUAGUCAGAAGUGAAAGCCCCGGGCUCAACCUGGGAAUAGCUUUUGAUACUGCCGAGCUUGAAUCACGGAGAGGGUAGUGGAAUUCCGAGUGUAGAGGUGAAAUUCGUAGAUAUUCGGAAGAACACCAGUGGCGAAGGCGACUACCUGGCCGUCGAUUGACGCUCAUGUGCGAAAGCGUGGGGAGCAAACAGG
RNAcentral lists this ribosomal RNA (253 nucleotides) under uncultured bacterium. RNAcentral's name for it is "partial 16S ribosomal RNA". It matches the Rfam family "Bacterial small subunit ribosomal RNA", at positions 524 to 776 of the family's 1533-position model. The record is from RNAcentral.